UAGCGCACUCUGCUGAGAAGAGGAUCACUCCAGCACAGUCCUUUGCAUUAAAGUGGCCCUGGUCGCAGGCUUUGGCCACGUUGUAGACGUACUGCCGACAGGCCAUCAGCCGGGUGUACAUAUCAGCCAUUUUGCCCUGCAUGAGCUGGAAAUGGCCAAUUCUCUGUCCAAAUGCUUCUCUUACAUGUAAAUAUGGAAUUGCAUGGUCAAGAACAGCUUGCAUGAGCCCCAGCGGCCCACCAGACAGCACGAGCCUCUCCAGGUCCAACCCGCUCAUCAGAA
Molecule: long non-coding RNA, 282 nt
Filed under: Gallus gallus (chicken)
Lineage: Eukaryota; Metazoa; Chordata; Aves; Galliformes; Phasianidae
Source: RNAcentral